ACGGAGGGUGCAAACGUUACUCGGAAUCACUGGGCAUAAAGCGCACGUAGGCGGCCUUUUAAGUCGGAUGUGAAAGCCCGUGGCUCAACCACGGAACUGCAUCCGAUACUGGAAGGCUCGAGGAUGGUUGGGGUGAGUGGAACUCCAGGUGGAGCGGUGAAAUGCGUAGAUAUCUGGAGGAACACCGGUGGCGAAAGCGGCUCACUGGACCAUUACUGACGCUGAGGUGCGAAAGCUAGGGGAGCGAACGGG
This 252-nucleotide ribosomal RNA is filed under the name uncultured bacterium. Its description in RNAcentral is "partial 16S ribosomal RNA". It matches the Rfam family "Bacterial small subunit ribosomal RNA", at positions 525 to 776 of the family's 1533-position model. The record is from RNAcentral.